AAUGAUACCCAGGUAGUCCACGCCGUAAACGAUGAGUGCUAAGUGUUAGAGGGUUUCCGCUCUUUAGUGCUGCAGCUAACGCAUUAAGCACUCCGCCUGGGGAGUACGGUCGCAAGACUGAAACUCAAAGGAAUUGACGGGGGCCCGCACAAGCGGUGGAGCAUGUGGUUUAAUUCGAAGCAACGCGAAGAACCUUACCAGGUCUUGACAUCCCACUGACCGGUAUAGAGAUAUACCUUUCCCUUCGGGGACAGUGGUGACAGGUGGUGCAUGGUUGUCGUCAGCUCGUGUCGUGAGAUGUUGGGUUAAGUCCCGCAACGAGCGCAACCCUUGAUCUUAGUUGCCAGCAUUUAGUUGGGCACUCUAAGGUGACUGCCUGUGACAAACCGGAGGAAGGUGGGGAUGGACGUCAAAUCAUCAUGCCCCGUUAUGACCUGGGCUACACACGUGCUACAAUGGAUGGUACAAAGGGCUGCAAGACUGCGAAGUCAAGCCAAAUCCCAUAAAACCCAUUCUCAGUUCGGAUUG
RNAcentral lists this ribosomal RNA (528 nucleotides) under uncultured bacterium. Its description in RNAcentral is "bacterial SSU rRNA". It matches the Rfam family "Bacterial small subunit ribosomal RNA", at positions 778 to 1300 of the family's 1533-position model. The record is from RNAcentral.